Long non-coding RNA from Sycon ciliatum, 1383 nucleotides. RefSeq lists it as uncharacterized. The transcript has 3 exons. NCBI's taxonomy places the organism in Eukaryota, Metazoa, Porifera, Calcarea, Leucosolenida, Sycettidae. The record is from RefSeq and is a predicted model, not a curated record.
CCUAGAGAGAGAAAGUAUAUUUUUCAUUCUCCCCCUACACUUCUGUCAAGUGUGAUUGAGAGAAGGAAAAUCGCACUGUCUUUCGCAGCGAUGGGUUGUUUUGGAUCCAAAGGCGCCAUUUCCAAUUCCUCGCAGGAACUUCAGGAACCUCAAUUUCCGAGGAGAACUUUCCGCCUCCGGCCGUGGGACCCUACACAACUCCGAAGAAUGAAAUCUCAUCCAGACCACUCGGCUCUGCCACAGGAAUUAUCCUAUCCAGACAGCGGAUUAGCUGUUAGAUUGGAGCCUUCGACGGACACAGAAAACGUCCCCAGAAAGCGACCAUUUCUUGCUGGCAGGUUUUCUCGUGGACUCCGAGAUGAAUCUAAGACUGGUCACACCCCGAGUGAUCAUACACCUAAACAUCGAGACUGCCACGGCGAAUCUGGCGAGACUGUAUUGUUGAAGGUACCAAAUGCGGGCAAGGACUGUUUUGUUGUCCGCGCAGGGGAUGGAUCAAACAGGCUUUUGGUCAAGAGCGGAGAUCCAAGACAAGAUGGAGGAGUGUUUCAGAUGUAUACUAACACCGGAACCGCCGCUGUCGCUUUCCAAGUAGUUAACGUGAUUACUGAGUCAACUGGGGUUGUAUACCAAAAGCACCCCGAAUUCCUCGGUAUUUCGUUAAAAUCUACCCCUGAGUGCCUCUGUCAAUACACUUGGCAGAUGCGACCUGCCACUAUACCCGUUCCUCCUCCCGUGGAUGCUGCAAAGGCGCUUGAGUCAAGUGAUACGCACUUCUUGAUGGGCGACAUUCACUUGAACGCAGGUCUGGUUUCCCCUAAGUACUUAUGGCCGUCAAUAGGAAAUAAGGAAAUCAAUCUUCAAGUCAUGAAGAGCCAAGUUCCCAAUGAAGGCUCAGAAUUGGUUUUCGCCACAGCCACACAGUUCGCUAUGACGGCACAGUUUCAAGUCGUUGACAUAGAAAAUUACGUUGCACCAUCACACGCUGCCUGUGACAUUCCGGGCAACUUGAAGUGAACGCGGAUUUCAAAAUUUGUAUUCUCCCUUUGGUUAUAUUUAGUGGAGCCAAAGGCAGUAGACAUGACUACAUCUCUCAAAGCGGAAUUCCUCAAAUCGUAAUGUUUUUUUCUGUUUAUCCCUACUGCUGCGCUCAUAAUUGUGAUCUGAGAAAGUAAGACUUAUUGCAUCCUGCAUCAGAAAAUUUACAGUGAAUGGCCAUAGUUCUCGCUGAAUUGGAACUUUAAGCUAAGUGUUUUUUGCAUCUCUAUUCUUCUCUCGGAAAUGUGCCCCUCGCCCCCCCCCCCCUCCCCAGUUUUGGUAUAAGUAAUGACACCGUGAUCUAUCGUUUUAGCCCGUUUACAGCUAUCUUUCCACGUACAUGUG